RNAcentral lists this ribosomal RNA (253 nucleotides) under uncultured bacterium. Its description in RNAcentral is "partial 16S ribosomal RNA". It matches the Rfam family "Bacterial small subunit ribosomal RNA", at positions 524 to 776 of the family's 1533-position model. The record is from RNAcentral.
UACGGAGGGUGCAAGCGUUAUCCGGAUUUAUUGGGUUUAAAGGGUCCGUAGGCGGACUCAUAAGUCAGUGGUGAAAUCCUGCAGCUCAACUGUAGAACUUCCAUUGAUACUGUGAGUCUUGAAUUCGGUUGAAGUGGGCGGAAUAUGGCAUGUAGCGGUGAAAUGCUUAGAUAUGCCAUAGAACACCGAUUGCGUAGGCAGCUCACUAAGCCUGGAUUGACGCUGAGGGACGAAAGCGUGGGUAGCGAACAGG